RNAcentral lists this ribosomal RNA (702 nucleotides) under uncultured Gammaproteobacteria bacterium. RNAcentral describes it as "bacterial SSU rRNA". It matches the Rfam family "Bacterial small subunit ribosomal RNA", at positions 45 to 739 of the family's 1533-position model. Lineage: Bacteria; Pseudomonadati; Pseudomonadota; Gammaproteobacteria. The record is from RNAcentral.
GGCCUAACACAUGCAAGUCGAGCGGAAACGAUGAUAGCUUGCUAUCAGGCGUCGAGCGGCGGACGGGUGAGUAAUGCUUGGGAAUAUGCCUUUUGGUGGGGGACAACAGUUGGAAACGACUGCUAAUACCGCAUAAUGUCUGAGGACCAAAGCGGGGGACCUUCGGGCCUCGUGCCAAAAGAUUAGCCCAAGUGAGAUUAGCUAGUUGGUGGGGUAAAGGCCUACCAAGGCGACGAUCUCUAGCUGGUUUGAGAGGAUGAUCAGCCACACUGGGACUGAGACACGGCCCAGACUCCUACGGGAGGCAGCAGUGGGGAAUAUUGCACAAUGGGGGAAACCCUGAUGCAGCCAUGCCGCGUGUGUGAAGAAGGCCUUCGGGUUGUAAAGCACUUUCAGUGGGGAGGAAAGGGUGAUGCUUAAUACGUAUCAUCUGUGACGUUACCCACAGAAGAAGCACCGGCUAACUCCGUGCCAGCAGCCGCGGUAAUACGGAGGGUGCGAGCGUUAAUCGGAAUUACUGGGCGUAAAGCGUGCGUAGGCGGAUAGUUAAGCGAGAUGUGAAAUCCCGGGGCUCAACCUCGGAACUGCAUUUCGAACUGGCUGUCUAGAGUCUUGUAGAGGGUGGUGGAAUUUCCAGUGUAGCGGUGAAAUGCGUAGAGAUUGAAAGGAACAUCAGUGGCGAAGGCGGCCACCUGACAAAGA